Molecule: ribosomal RNA, 478 nt
Filed under: Cordana terrestris
Lineage: Eukaryota; Fungi; Ascomycota; Sordariomycetes; Coniochaetales; Cordanaceae
Description: eukaryotic LSU rRNA
Rfam family: Eukaryotic large subunit ribosomal RNA
Source: RNAcentral
GCGGAGGAAAAGAAACCAACAGGGAUUGCCCUAGUAACGGCGAGUGAAGCGGCAACAGCUCAAAUUUGAAAUCUGGCUUCGGCCCGAGUUGUAAUUUGUAGAGGAUGCUUUUGGCGCGGUGCCUUCUGAGUUCCCUGGAACGGGACGCCAUAGAGGGUGAGAGCCCCGUAUAGUUGGACACCAAGCCUUUGUAAAGCUCCUUCGACGAGUCGAGUAGUUUGGGAAUGCUGCUCAAAAUGGGAGGUAAAUUUCUUCUAAAGCUAAAUACCGGCCAGAGACCGAUAGCGCACAAGUAGAGUGAUCGAAAGAUGAAAAGCACUUUGAAAAGAGGGUUAAAUAGCACGUGAAAUUGUUGAAAGGGAAGCGCUUAUGACCAGACUUGUUCCCGGUUGAUCAUCCAGUGUUCUCACUGGUGCACUCUGCCGGGGUCAGGCCAGCGUCGGUUCUCGCAGGGGGAUAAAAGCUUCGGGAACGUAGC